CAGUAGCCACGGGAAUACGAAGGGGGCUAGCGUUGUUCGGAAUCACUGGGCGUAAAGGGUGCGUAGGCGGAUUCUUAAGUCAGGGGUGAAAUCCCGAGGCUCAACCUCGGAACUGCCUUUGAUACUGGGGAUCUUGAGUCCGGAAGAGGUGAGUGGAACUGCGAGUGUAGAGGUGAAAUUCGUAGAUAUUCGCAAGAACACCAGUGGCGAAGGCGGCUCACUGGUCCGGAACUGACGCUGAGGCACGACAGCGUGGGGAGCAAACAGGAUUAGAUACCCGCGUAGUCCCUGUCUCUUAUAC
RNAcentral lists this ribosomal RNA (301 nucleotides) under uncultured bacterium. RNAcentral describes it as "partial 16S ribosomal RNA". It matches the Rfam family "Bacterial small subunit ribosomal RNA", at positions 509 to 807 of the family's 1533-position model. The record is from RNAcentral.